This 113-nucleotide ribosomal RNA is filed under the name Bacillus yapensis. Its description in RNAcentral is "Bacillus sp. XXST-01 partial 16S ribosomal RNA". It matches the Rfam family "Bacterial small subunit ribosomal RNA", at positions 1 to 109 of the family's 1533-position model. The record is from RNAcentral. Lineage: Bacteria; Bacillati; Bacillota; Bacilli; Caryophanales; Bacillaceae.
UUUAUUGGAGAGUUUGAUCCUGGCUCAGGACGAACGCUGGCGGCGUGCCUAAUACAUGCAAGUCGAGCGAACAAAGAGGAGCUUGCUCCUCGAUGUUAGCGGCGGACGGGUGA